Molecule: transfer RNA, 541 nt
Filed under: uncultured cyanobacterium
Lineage: Bacteria; Bacillati; Cyanobacteriota
Description: partial 16S-23S ribosomal RNA intergenic spacer
Rfam family: tRNA (bases 126-199)
Source: RNAcentral
CAGGGAGACAACAAAAUGUUUAAUAUUAUUAUUUUGUCACCUUAGGUCGAUCGGUAUCUCACAUUUUUAAUUUAUUAAGAAUUUCAUUUUCUAAGUUUUUCUAGGUCACACCCAUUAUUUUUCCUGGGCCAUUAGCUCAGGUGGUUAGAGCGCACCCCUGAUAAGGGUGAGGUCCCUGGUUCAAGUCCAGGAUGGCCCAUAUCUCUAUGUUGGGGGUAUAGCUCAGUUGGUAGAGCGCCUGCUUUGCAAGCAGGAUGUCAGCGGUUCGAGUCCGCCUACCUCCACUGAUUACCACCUCUUCCAUAACCGGUAGCAAGGAAAUAUUUUGAGUUGUGAUCAAAUUCUGAAAGAAUCUAGCUUCCUAAUGAAAUCAUUAAGAUGCUGGACUCAUUGAAUUAUUUUCAUUGUUUUCAGAGAACCUUGACAACUGCAUAGAUUAUUUUUAAAGACAAUAAGCAUCUUUAAUGAUGCAGAUUUAUUAUUUGUGCGAAUGCAUUAAUAACAAUUCUAUUAAGCUGAUGCUUCAAUUUUUGAAGUUAUU